This 226-nucleotide ribosomal RNA is filed under the name Escherichia coli. Its description in RNAcentral is "partial 16S ribosomal RNA". It matches the Rfam family "Bacterial small subunit ribosomal RNA", at positions 1 to 223 of the family's 1533-position model. Lineage: Bacteria; Pseudomonadati; Pseudomonadota; Gammaproteobacteria; Enterobacterales; Enterobacteriaceae. RNAcentral also lists the same sequence under 3 other names. The record is from RNAcentral.
AAAUUGAAGAGUUUGAUCAUGGCUCAGAUUGAACGCUGGCGGCAGGCCUAACACAUGCAAGUCGAACGGUAACAGGAAGCAGCUUGCUGCUUUGCUGACGAGUGGCGGACGGGUGAGUAAUGUCUGGGAAACUGCCUGAUGGAGGGGGAUAACUACUGGAAACGGUAGCUAAUACCGCAUAACGUCGCAAGACCAAAGAGGGGGACCUUCGGGCCUCUUGCCAUCG